Molecule: ribosomal RNA, 440 nt
Filed under: uncultured bacterium
Lineage: Bacteria
Description: partial 16S ribosomal RNA
Rfam family: Bacterial small subunit ribosomal RNA
Source: RNAcentral
CCUACGGGGAGCAGCAGUAGGGAAUAUUGCUCAAUGGGGGAAACCCUGAAGCAGCAACGCCGCGUGGAGGAUGAAGGUUUUCGGAUUGUAAACUCCUUUUGUUAGAGAAGAUAAUGACGGUAUCUAACGAAUAAGCACCGGCUAACUCCGUGCCAGCAGCCGCGGUAAUACGGAGGGUGCAAGCGUUACGCGGAAUCACUGGGCGUAAAGAGCGCGUAGGCGGGAUAGCAAGUCAGAUGUGAAAUCCUAGGGCUUAACCAUAGAACUGAAUUUGAAACUGUUAUUCUAGAGUAUGGGAGAGGUAGGUGGAAUUCUUGGUGUAGGGGUAAAAUCCGUAGAGAUCAAGAGGAAUACUCAUUGCGAAGGCGACCUGCUAGAACAUAACUGACGCUGAUGCGCGAAAGCGUGGGGAGCAAACAGGAGUAGAUACCCCGGUAGUC